This 637-nucleotide ribosomal RNA is filed under the name Pseudomonas sp. RC12-3-1. Its description in RNAcentral is "bacterial SSU rRNA". It matches the Rfam family "Bacterial small subunit ribosomal RNA", at positions 95 to 728 of the family's 1533-position model. Lineage: Bacteria; Pseudomonadati; Pseudomonadota; Gammaproteobacteria; Pseudomonadales; Pseudomonadaceae. The record is from RNAcentral.
GCGGCGGACGGGUGAGUAAUGCCUAGGAAUCUGCCUGAUAGUGGGGGACAACGUUUCGAAAGGAACGCUAAUACCGCAUACGUCCUACGGGAGAAAGUGGGGGAUCUUCGGACCUCACGCUAUCAGAUGAGCCUAGGUCGGAUUAGCUAGUUGGUGGGGUAAUGGCCCACCAAGGCGACGAUCCGUAACUGGUCUGAGAGGAUGAUCAGUCACACUGGAACUGAGACACGGUCCAGACUCCUACGGGAGGCAGCAGUGGGGAAUAUUGGACAAUGGGCGAAAGCCUGAUCCAGCCAUGCCGCGUGUGUGAAGAAGGUCUUCGGAUUGUAAAGCACUUUAAGUUGGGAGGAAGGGCAGUAAAUUAAUACUUUGCUGUUUUGACGUUACCGACAGAAUAAGCACCGGCUAACUCUGUGCCAGCAGCCGCGGUAAUACAGAGGGUGCAAGCGUUAAUCGGAAUUACUGGGCGUAAAGCGCGCGUAGGUGGUUUGUUAAGUUGAAUGUGAAAGCCCCGGGCUCAACCUGGGAACUGCAUCCAAAACUGGCAAGCUAGAGUACGGUAGAGGGUGGUGGAAUUUCCUGUGUAGCGGUGAAAUGCGUAGAUAUAGGAAGGAACACCAGUGGCGAAGGCGACCAC